RNAcentral lists this ribosomal RNA (329 nucleotides) under uncultured eukaryote. Its description in RNAcentral is "partial 18S ribosomal RNA". It matches the Rfam family "Eukaryotic small subunit ribosomal RNA", at positions 1470 to 1796 of the family's 1831-position model. The record is from RNAcentral.
CCCUUAGAUGUUCUGGGUCGCACGCGCGCUACACUGACGAUGGCAACGAGUUUUUCCUUCGCCGAAAGGUGUGGGUAAUCUUUUGAAACAUCGUCGUGCUGGGGAUAGAUCAUUGCAAUUUUUGAUCUUGAACGAGGAAUUCCUAGUAAGCGCGAGUCAUCAGCUCGCGUUGAUUACGUCCCUGCCCUUUGUACACACCGCCCGUCGCUACUACCGAUUGAAUGGUUUAGUGAGGACUCCUGAUUGGCGCCGCCGCCCCGGCAACGGAGCAGCGGACUGCCGAAAAGUUGUUCAAACUUGAUCAUUUAGAGGAAGUAAAAGUCGUAACA